GAAAGGCUUCGGCCGGACAGGGAUGGGCAUGCGGCGCAUUAGGCAGUAGGCGGGGUAACGGCCCACCUAACCGACGAUGCGUAGGGGUUCUGAGAGGAAGGUCCCCCACACUGGUACUGAGACACGGACCAGACUCCUACGGGAGGCAGCAGUGAGGAAUAUUGGUCAAUGGUCGGGAGACUGAACCAGCCAAGCCGCGUGAGGGAUGAAGGUACAGAGUAUCGUAAACCUCUUUUGUCAGGGAACAAAGGCGGGGACGUGUCCCCGGAUGAGUGUACCUGAAGAAAAAGCAUCGGCUAACUCCGUGCCAGCAGCCGCGGUAAUACGGAGGAUGCGAGCGUUAUCCGGAUUUAUUGGGUUUAAAGGGUGCGCAGGCGGUCUGUUAAGUCAGCGGUCAAAGCCCGGGGCUCAACCCCGGCCCGCCGUUGAAACUGGCAGUCUCGAGUUGGAGAGAAGUAUGCGGAAUGCGCGGUGUAGCGGUGAAAUGCAUAGAUAUCGCGCAGAACUCCGAUUGCGAAGGCAGCAUGCCGGCUCCACACUGACGCUGAGGCACGAAAGCGUGGGUAUCGAACAGGAUUAGAUACCCUGGUAGUCCACGCAGUAAACGAUGAAAGGUGGCUGUCCGGGGGGAUUGACCCCUGG
This 642-nucleotide ribosomal RNA is filed under the name uncultured bacterium. Its description in RNAcentral is "bacterial SSU rRNA". It matches the Rfam family "Bacterial small subunit ribosomal RNA", at positions 202 to 842 of the family's 1533-position model. The record is from RNAcentral.